GACGAACGCUGGCGGCGUGCUUAACACAUGCAAGUCGAACGGAGAGGCCCUGCUUUGGUGGGGUGCUCGAGUGGCGGACGGGUGAGUAACACGUGAGUAACCUGCCCUUGACUUUGGGAUAACUUCAGGAAACUGGGGCUCAUACCGGAUAGGAGCCCCUGCUGCAUGGUGGGGGUUGGAAAGUUUCGGCGGUUGGGGAUGGACUCGCGGCUUAUCAGCUUGUUGGUGGGGUAGUGGCUUACCAAGGCUUUGACGGGUAGCCGGCCUGAGAGGGUGACCGGCCACAUUGGGACUGAGAUACGGCCCAGACUCCUACGGGAGGCAGCAGUGGGGAAUAUUGCACAAUGGGCGGAAGCCUGAUGCAGCAACGCCGCGUGCGGGAUGACGGCCUUCGGGUUGUAAACCGCUUUCGCCUGUGACGAAGCGUGAGUGACGGUAAUGGGUAAAGAAGCACCGGCUAACUACGUG
RNAcentral lists this ribosomal RNA (468 nucleotides) under uncultured bacterium. RNAcentral describes it as "partial 16S ribosomal RNA". It matches the Rfam family "Bacterial small subunit ribosomal RNA", at positions 28 to 507 of the family's 1533-position model. The record is from RNAcentral.